CAACCCUCACGCGUAGCGUGGUCUUGGGCACUGCCGGCAACGGCUUGCCUUAAAAUCAGUGGCGGUGCCAUCGAGCUCUACGCGUAGUAAUAAACCCCUCGCGUGUGAGUCUCGGCGGUCGCUUGCCAGCAACCCCAAUUUUUUAUGG
Molecule: unclassified non-coding RNA, 148 nt
Filed under: uncultured Helotiaceae
Lineage: Eukaryota; Fungi; Ascomycota; Leotiomycetes; Helotiales; Helotiaceae
Description: sequence contains ITS2
Source: RNAcentral